RNAcentral lists this long non-coding RNA (527 nucleotides) under Ananas comosus (pineapple). RNAcentral describes it as "long non-coding RNA (ACOM_LNC011006)". The record is from RNAcentral. Lineage: Eukaryota; Viridiplantae; Streptophyta; Magnoliopsida; Poales; Bromeliaceae.
CUUUCAUGAUAGAUGUGACGCCCACUAUUCAGGAGAUCAUUCAUUCUAGAACUAUUUUAGUUCUAACACGUUCAACUCUUUUUAUCUCUUGGGCAUAGUCACCGGCCAAAACGUUAUAAUCGUGUUACGAGAUUCGUAUACCGACCGUCCCUAGAGCAAGUGGCAAAGGGCUUGGUGGUUGGUAUCCGAGACCCGAGUUCGAAUUCUAGUUGAUUCACAUUUUCAACUAAAUUUAUUUCUAAAUGAAAUAAACGAAACAGGUAGCGUGCUGAUGUCUCACAUUUUUAUCUCUUUUUUAAGUUAUGAUGUGAUACUCGUCUCGUUAAUCUUAAAUGAUCUUGUGGUGAUCAACCGCACUCCACCCACAGCAAUCAGCAAUAUGAGAACUUUGCUCUCCCCUCUGUAUAAUUUGGUUCAGCCAAGACUGAAGGAAUAUGUAAUUCAUAAAUACAACCAAAUCUUCAACCUUUCAAAUUAUAUAUUAUUUUUUUUAAAAGAAAUUAUAUAUUACUUUUUGAGGUGUAAUU